Molecule: long non-coding RNA, 526 nt
Filed under: Equus caballus (horse)
Lineage: Eukaryota; Metazoa; Chordata; Mammalia; Perissodactyla; Equidae
Description: lncRNA (ENSECAG00000056120.1)
Source: RNAcentral
UUUGUAUGUCUUUUUUGAAUUUUAUUUUUCGAAGUAAUUCCUUUUUAGUCUAUUUUAUGAAGGCAGCAGUCAGUAACAGGUUGAAAACAAAGUAAAGCCCUUCACUGCAUAUUUGAGAAGUGCUGCUCUAGGAUACAGUGUUGUCCUAGAGAAGUCCUUUGUCAGUCCGAUCUUGCUAUGUUCACUCAGCCAGUUGCUUCCUUAUUCUUCUUCAUCUGAACAUUGAUUUUAAGAAAGGAGGAUGCCGAGAAGCCACUUGAUCAGGUGCCUAAAAUCUUACUACUGCAUGAAUUUAUUUUACUUGAAUCUGUCUUCUAUUGGCUCCAGUGAAAACAGGUGUGUUUUCCUUGGUAGGGGAGCCUGUUGCAUCGCAGCGUUUUCAGAGCACCUCCAGGACUGGCCGCACCUGAUGGACGCAGGCGACCUGAGGAAGGUCCAGAGCCCGGGAGUGUCCAACCCUUACGGCCAACUGGCAGCCUGGACCUGAGUGAGUGACAGAUGUCUCCUGAGCAGGACAGACAGGUAA